AGGAACAGGAAUUAACGACGACACAAAAACCUCUUACGGAUGAAGAUGUCAAGGAAGCUUAUAAGGCAAGAAGCUAUCUUUUCGACCAAGCGCGGCAACGAUACGCAGUAAAACGAAUGGCUGUACCUGAACCUUCUUUAAGUCGAAGAAAAAGACAAGCCGAAAUGGAGUCGGUUUCCGACGCACCAAGCUCCACAUCAGAUGUCGACAGCAAAGCGGCCUACAUGCAGCCGGAAACUUAUGGAAUGAACCUCAAUGGUGAUGGAGGCUACGUUUGGA
Cydia fagiglandana is the source of this 279-nucleotide long non-coding RNA. RefSeq lists it as uncharacterized. The transcript is spliced from 4 exons. Lineage: Eukaryota; Metazoa; Arthropoda; Insecta; Lepidoptera; Tortricidae. The record is from RefSeq and is a predicted model, not a curated record.